UAUGCUCACAGGCACGUAGUACAUUCUAUGUCCUUGUACCUUAACCAAGAUAUUUGUGCUGGACAUGCUCACAGGCACCUUCCAGCUCGCAGCCUAUGCCCCUUCCCUAUUUGGCAUAAGCAACUUCCUCUUUUCCUUUGUCUUUCCAUUACUUUUACCUAUUUAAAAAAGUUUCAAACUGUUAGUCAAUCGGGUUUUAGUUUAGACUGUGCUGUCUGACUCCAGCCAAUGGAGACAGGACACAGUAGCAGGGACAAACUACUUAAGGAAUAAAAAUUGCUUCCCUCCUUUGUUUGGAUGUGCUGUCGCCAUUGUUCCAUCUGUGACGGGCACUCUUUCUGCAGAAAGUAAAAAUGGCCUUAGUAAGAAAAUUAAAUUUAUGUUCAAGUGCUAUUUCUUUGUAGCACCAGGGAACAAACAUUCUGUUUCCAAAUAAACAUUUUACAUAUAACAAGUAAAAUAACACUAUGAAAAAAGUCAAAAGACCAUUCCUAAAAUGAGGGGAAUAGGGCAAGUAAGUGGGGCAGUUCCACCCUAAAAGUCCCUGGAAUAAAUUUUAAAAUGGCAUAUUCUUCAUUUCAAACACAGAAGCCGUUCCUGGGAAACCUUGCAAGCCACAGUGCUUGGGUGGAAACAUGACAGGCCAAAUUGCAACCAGAAUUCUUUGAUUAUAAACAAAAGCAUUUUUGUUUCAGAGAAGAAAAAAAAAAAGAGAGAAAGGAAACUAAAAAAGAGGAAAUGAAUCACUUUCUGAAUAUGAGACCUCAAGUGCACAAACAGGCUGGGGAGUGGAGAUGAGUUAGCUCGGUCAUCAUCAGUAGGAGAGGAGCAUGGGAUCUCCAACUUUCGUCGGGAG
RNAcentral lists this long non-coding RNA (856 nucleotides) under Homo sapiens (human). Its description in RNAcentral is "HSALNT0252029". Lineage: Eukaryota; Metazoa; Chordata; Mammalia; Primates; Hominidae. The record is from RNAcentral.